This 438-nucleotide ribosomal RNA is filed under the name uncultured bacterium. Its description in RNAcentral is "partial 16S ribosomal RNA". It matches the Rfam family "Bacterial small subunit ribosomal RNA", at positions 339 to 795 of the family's 1533-position model. The record is from RNAcentral.
CUACGGGUGGCUCCAGUGGGGAAUAUUGCACAAUGGAGGAAACUCUGAUGCAGCAACGCCGCGUGGAGGAUGACACUUUUGGAGCGUAAACUCCUUUUAUAUAGGAAGAAGAUGACGGUACUAUAUGAAUAAGCGCCGGCUAACUCCGUGCCAGCAGCCGCGGUAAUACGGAGGGCGCAAGCGUUACUCGGAAUCACUGGGCGUAAAGAGCGUGUAGGCGGAUUAAAAAGUCAGAAGUGAAAUCCUAUAGCUUAACUAUAGAACUGCUUCUGAAACUCUUAAUCUAGAAUAUGGGAGAGGUAGAUGGAAUUUCUGGUGUAGGGGUAAAAUCCGUAGAGAUCAGAAGGAAUACCGAUUGCGAAGGCGAUCUACUAGAACAUUAUUGACGCUGAGACGCGAAAGCGUGGGGAGCAAACAGGAUUAGAUACCCCGGUAGUC